Molecule: ribosomal RNA, 1437 nt
Filed under: uncultured organism
Description: partial small subunit ribosomal RNA
Rfam family: Bacterial small subunit ribosomal RNA
Source: RNAcentral
GCUGUGCGGCGUGCUUAACACAUGCAAGUCGAACGGAAAGGCCCUGCUUUUGUGGGGUGCUCGAGUGGCGAACGGGUGGGUAACACGUGAGUAACCUGCCCUUGACUUUGGGAUAACUUCAGGAAACUGGGGCUAAUACCGGAUAGGAGCUCCUGCUGCAUGGUGGGGGUUGGAAAGUUUCGGCGGUUGGGGAUGGACUCGCGGCUUAUCAGCUUGUUGGUGGGGUAGUGGCUUACCAAGGCUUUGACGGGUAGCCGGCCUGAGAGGGUGACCGGCCACAUUGGGACUGAGAUACGGCCCAGACUCCUACGGGAGGCAGCAGUGGGGAAUAUUGCACAAUGGGCGGAAGCCUGAUGCAGCAACGCCGCGUGCGGGAUGACGGCCUUCGGGUUGUAAACCGCUUUCGCCUGUGACGAAGCGUGAGUGACGGUAAUGGGUAAAGAAGCACCGGCUAACUACGUGCCAGCAGCCGCGGUGAUACGUAGGGUGCGAGCGUUGUCCGGAUUUAUUGGGCGUAAAGGGCUCGUAGGUGGUUGAUCGCGUCGGAAGUGUAAUCUUGGGGCUUAACCCUGAGCGUGCUUUCGAUACGGGUUGACUUGAGGAAGGUAGGGGAGAAUGGAAUUCCUGGUGGAGCGGUGGAAUGCGCAGAUAUCAGGAGGAACACCAGUGGCGAAGGCGGUUCUCUGGGCCUUUCCUGACGCUGAGGAGCGAAAGCGUGGGGAGCGAACAGGCUUAGAUACCCUGGUAGUCCACGCUGUAAACGGUGGGUACUAGGUGUGGGGUCCAUUCCACGGGUUCCGUGCCGUAGCUAACGCUUUAAGUACCCCGCCUGGGGAGUACGGCCGCAAGGCUAAAACUCAAAGGAAUUGACGGGGCCCCGCACAAGCGGCGGAGCAUGCGGAUUAAUUCGAUGCAACGCGUAGAACCUUACCUGGGUUUGACAUGGAUCGGGAGUGCUCAGAGAUGGGUGUGCCUCUUUUGGGGUCGGUUCACAGGUGGUGCAUGGCUGUCGUCAGCUCGUGUCGUGAGAUGUUGGGUUAAGUCCCGCAACGAGCGCAACCCUUGUUCACUGUUGCCAGCACGUUAUGGUGGGGACUCAGUGGAGACCGCCGGGGUCAACUCGGAGGAAGGUGGGGAUGACGUCAAGUCAUCAUGCCCCUUAUGUCCAGGGCUUCACGCAUGCUACAAUGGCUGGUACAGAGAGUGGCGAGCCUGUGAGGGUGAGCGAAUCUCGGAAAGCCGGUCUCAGUUCGGAUUGGGGUCUGCAACUCGACCUCAUGAAGUCGGAGUCGCUAGUAAUCGCAGAUCAGCAACGCUGCGGUGAAUACGUUCCCGGGGCUUGUACACACCGCCCGUCAAGUCAUGAAAGUUGGUAACACCCGAAGCCGGUGGCCUAACCGAUGUGGGGGAGCCGUCGAAGGUGGGACUGGUGAUUAG